GGAUGAGCUGGGCGCCUCUACCAUGGAUAGCCGCCGGGGGGACCCUCGGUUGGGAUCGAAUCGGACGCGGCAGAUGUUCCUGACGUCGUCGGCAGCAGCAAAGCGAAGGAGAGGCAGGGAUGAAAAGAUCUCUGGGCUGGGGAGCCGUCGAGCGUGUGGAGGCAGGGCCGAGGAGGUCGAUGGAUCCACGAGUGCGUCGGAGAUGCACUGGGUAGCAGGCGGGAUGUGAAGAGGCAGAUCCCAGAGGCUUCUGCGCUCGCGAGAGAGGGGAGAGAGGCGCGAGGGGUCGGCGAAGGACGUGCCCGGGCGAUGAGCCGGCGGGGGAGGAGCUGAACUGCUCGUGAUCGGGGGGAGAUACGUGAGCUGAACUGACGGCCCCCUCCUCCCUUCUUCCUGCACGCCGCUCGUCACCCCUCUCCUCCCUCCUCACGUGCCCAUGCCUGUCGAUCCCUCAGCUCCUCCCUGCGCGCCGCCACCCGUCCGCUCCCCGCCUCCCUACUUGCCGCCGUCCGUCCGCCCCCCUUUUCCUCCUCCCCGUGCGCCGCUGCUCGUCACCCCUCUCCUCACUGUGCGCCGCCGCCCGCCGGUCCCUCCUCGGCAACUCCAUCUCUCGACCAAGCGCCACCGCCCGUCCGCCCGCUCCCCCCCCCCCCCCCCCCGCCGCCCUCCCUAUCGGCCCAGCGCCUGGGGCACCCAGUGCGCCACACCGGACCGGCGACCCCUGGAUCCGCCGCCGGGUUGCGGGCACAUGGGUGGCGGCGCAGCAGCCGGAGACGCCCCGGGCAGAGGAGACGAAGGGAACGGCAGCGGUCGGUGGCAAGGAGCCCAAGAUCCCGGCACGGAGGUGGCGGGAUCUCCUCCGGCUGCGGAAGCAGCAGGCGUCGUCGGGGUCCAGCUCGACGGCGGCGAGUGCAUCGUCGGAGCCGAGGCCGUUGCGCCGGCUCCUCCACCGCGGGCCAAAGCCGCCGGAGCCAGAGACGUCGCUGAGCCUGCCGCUCCUCCGCGAGGCCGGCCCUGUCGCGGUGGGGCGGCGUGUCGGCGAGCGGGCGGGCGGCGUGAUGCCUGGUCGGUUGGGGGAGUGAGAGGCGGGGUCGGGUGGGAGGGGGUGGAUGGGGGCUCGCCCGCCCGUGGUUCUGCCGGCAGAGCCAUGGGGUGCGACGUGGACACUACGUGCUUUUUAGUAGUAGAGAUUUUGACAUCCAAGAAUUUGAUCUUGUUGCCACGGCAAAACAG
Molecule: long non-coding RNA, 1233 nt
Organism: Panicum hallii
Lineage: Eukaryota; Viridiplantae; Streptophyta; Magnoliopsida; Poales; Poaceae
Exons: 2
Source: RefSeq, a predicted model, not a curated record